AGAGUUUGAUCCUGGCUCAGAUUGAACGCUGGCGGAAUGCUUUACACAUGCAAGUCGAGCGGCAGCGCGGGGCAACCUGGCGGCGAGCGGCGAACGGGUGAGUAAUGCAUCGGAACAUGUCCAUGUCGUGGGGGAUAGCCCGGCGAAAGCCGGAUUAAUACCGCAUACGCCCGAGAGGGGAAAGUGGGGGACCGCAAGGCCUCACNCGAUUGGGUUGGCCGAUGUCCGAUUAGCUAGUUGGCGGGGUAAGAGCCCACCAAGGUCGAUGAUCGGUAGCUGGUCUGAGAGGAUGAUCAGCCACACUGGGACUGAGACACGGCCCACACUCCUACGGGAGGCUCGCAGUGGGGAAUUUUGGACAAUGGGGGCAACCCUGAUCCACCCAUCUCCGCUUGAGUGAAGAAGGCCUUCGGGUUGUAAAGCUCUUUUGUCCGGAACGANNCGGUUGGCGUGAAUAUCNCCGACUACUGACGGUACCGGAAGAAUAAGNCACCGGCUAACUACNUGCCAGCCAGCCGCGGUAAUACGUAAGGUGCGAGCGUCAAUCGGAAUUACUGGGNCGUAAAGCGUNCUCANGCGGUUUUGUCNGCCAGAUGNUGAANUCCCCGGNGCUNNACCUGGGGAAUGGCAUUUNGGACUGCAAGGGCUGGCAGUGUGGGCAUAGGANANUGGGAAUUCCCCGUUGUAGGCGUNGAANUUGCNGUAUAUUAUCGGGNAGGGANUUNCCGA
Molecule: ribosomal RNA, 729 nt
Filed under: uncultured bacterium
Lineage: Bacteria
Description: partial 16S ribosomal RNA
Rfam family: Bacterial small subunit ribosomal RNA
Source: RNAcentral